RNAcentral lists this ribosomal RNA (525 nucleotides) under Petasospora bimundalis. RNAcentral describes it as "Cyberlindnera bimundalis partial large subunit ribosomal RNA". It matches the Rfam family "Eukaryotic large subunit ribosomal RNA", at positions 115 to 656 of the family's 3401-position model. Lineage: Eukaryota; Fungi; Ascomycota; Saccharomycetes; Phaffomycetales; Wickerhamomycetaceae. The record is from RNAcentral.
UUGAAAUCUAGUACCUUCGGUGCUCGAGUUGUAAUUUGAAGGUAGUUUUCUGGUGCUGGCCCUUGUCUAUGUUCCUUGGAACAGGACGUCAUAGAGGGUGAGAAUCCCGUCUGAUGGGGUGUCCAGUGCUUUGUAGAUUUCUACCGAAGAGUCGAGUUGUUUGGGAAUGCAGCUCUAAGUGGGUGGUAAAUUCCAUCUAAAGCUAAAUACUGGCGAGAGACCGAUAGCGAACAAGUACAGUGAUGGAAAGAUGAAAAGAACUUUGAAAAGAGAGUGAAAAAGUACGUGAAAUUGUUGAAAGGGAAGGGUAUUGGAUCAGACUUGGUGUUUUGUGAUUAUCUUCCCUUCUUGGGUUGUGCACUCGCAUUUCACUGGGCCAGCAUCGGUUCGGAUGGCAAGAUAAUGGCUUGGGAACGUGGCACUCCUCGGAGUGUGUUAUAGCCCUUGUUGAUGUUGCCUAUCUGGACCGAGGACUGCGGCUUUUGCCUAGGAUGCUGGCGUAAUGAUUCAAUACCGCCCGUCUUG